Molecule: ribosomal RNA, 253 nt
Filed under: uncultured bacterium
Lineage: Bacteria
Description: partial 16S ribosomal RNA
Rfam family: Bacterial small subunit ribosomal RNA
Source: RNAcentral
UACGUAGGACCCGAGCGUUAUCCGGAUUCACUGGGUGUAAAGGGUGUGUAGGCGGGCGUGCGCGUCCGGGGUGAAAGGUUACGGCUCAACCGGAAACAUGACUUGGAUACGGCACGUCUUGGGUGCGGGAGAGGACGGUGGAAUUCCUGGUGUAGCGGUGAAAUGCGUAAAUAUCAGGAGGAACACCAGUGGCGAAGGCGGCCGUCUGGCCCGCAACCGACGCUGAAACACGAAAGCGUGGGGAUCAAACAGG